This 490-nucleotide ribosomal RNA is filed under the name uncultured bacterium. Its description in RNAcentral is "partial 16S ribosomal RNA". It matches the Rfam family "Bacterial small subunit ribosomal RNA", at positions 30 to 507 of the family's 1533-position model. The record is from RNAcentral.
AUUGAACGCUGGCGGCAUGCCUUACACAUGCAAGUCGAACGGCAACAUGAUCUAGCUUGCUAGAUUGAUGGCGAGUGGCGAACGGGUGAGUCGUACAUCGGAACUUGCCCUGUAGUGGGAGAUAACUAGACUAAAGAUUAGCUAAUACAUCAUCCGACGUGAGCGGGGAAGUUUGGGACCUCAAGGCCUCAUGCUGUAGGAUCGGGCGAUGUCUGAUUAGCUAGUUGGUGAGGUAAAGGCCCACCAAGGCGACGAUCAGUAGCUGGUCUGAGAGGACGAUCAGCCACACUGGGACUGAGACACGGCCCAGACUCCUACGGGAGGCAGCAGUGGGGAAUUUUGGACAAUGGGCGAAAGCCUGAUCCAGCAAUGCCGCGUGUGUGAAGAAGGCCUUCGGGUUGUAAAGCACUUUUGUCCGGAAAGAAAUGGCUCUGGUUAAUACAUGGGGUUGAUGACGGUACCGGAAGAAUAAGGACCGGCUAACUACGUG